This 1130-nucleotide ribosomal RNA is filed under the name Pedobacter boryungensis. Its description in RNAcentral is "bacterial SSU rRNA". It matches the Rfam family "Bacterial small subunit ribosomal RNA", at positions 314 to 1449 of the family's 1533-position model. The record is from RNAcentral. Lineage: Bacteria; Pseudomonadati; Bacteroidota; Sphingobacteriia; Sphingobacteriales; Sphingobacteriaceae.
UGGUAACUGAGACACGGAUCUAGACUCUUACGGAGGCAGCAGUAAUGAUAUCGGUUCCAUGAGCCACUCUGAACCCAGGCCAUGCCGCGUGCAGAAGACGGUCCUCUGGGUUGUAAACUGCUUUAUUCGGGAAUAAACCUGCUUACGUGUAAGUAGCUGAAUGUACCGAAGGAAUAAGGAUCGGCUAACUCCGUGCCAGCAGCCGCGGUAAUACGGAGGAUCCAAGCGUUAUCCGGAUUUAUUGGGUUUAAAGGGUGCGUAGGCGGCCUAUUAAGUCAGGGGUGAAAGACGGUAGCUCAACUAUCGCAGUGCCCUUGAUACUGAUGGGCUUGAAUACACUAGAGGUAGGCGGAAUGUGACAAGUAGCGGUGAAAUGCAUAGAUAUGUCACAGAACACCGAUUGCGAAGGCAGCUUACUAUGGUGUCAUUGACGCUGAGGCACGAAAGCGUGGGGAUCAAACAGGAUUAGAUACCCUGGUAGUCCACGCCCUAAACGAUGAAUACUCGCUGUUGGCGAUACACAGUCAGCGGCUAAGCGAAAGCGUUAAGUAUUCCACCUGGGGAGUACGCCCGCAAGGGUGAAACUCAAAGGAAUUGACGGGGGCCCGCACAAGCGGAGGAGCAUGUGGUUUAAUUCGAUGAUACGCGAGGAACCUUACCCGGGCUUGAAAGUUAGUGAAUAAUCCAGAGAUGGAUUAGUGAGCAAUCACACGAAACUAGGUGCUGCAUGGCUGUCGUCAGCUCGUGCCGUGAGGUGUUGGGUUAAGUCCCGCAACGAGCGCAACCCCUAUGUUUAGUUGCCAGCACGUAAUGGUGGGGACUCUAAACAGACUGCCUGUGCAAACAGAGAGGAAGGAGGGGACGACGUCAAGUCAUCAUGGCCCUUACGUCCGGGGCUACACACGUGCUACAAUGGAUGGUACAGAGGGCAGCAAGCUGGCAACAGCAAGCAAAUCUCAAAAAGCCAUUCACAGUUCGGAUUGGGGUCUGCAACUCGACCCCAUGAAGUUGGAUUCGCUAGUAAUCGCGUAUCAGCAAUGACGCGGUGAAUACGUUCCCGGGCCUUGUACACACCGCCCGUCAAGCCAUGGAAGUUGGGGGUACCUGAAAGUACGUAACCGCAACGGAGC